RNAcentral lists this ribosomal RNA (301 nucleotides) under uncultured bacterium. Its description in RNAcentral is "partial 16S ribosomal RNA". It matches the Rfam family "Bacterial small subunit ribosomal RNA", at positions 509 to 809 of the family's 1533-position model. The record is from RNAcentral.
CAGUAGCCACGGUAAUACGGAGGGUGCAAGCGUUAUCCGGAUUUAUUGGGUUUAAAGGGUCCGUAGGCGGACUUAUAAGUCAGUGGUGAAAGCCUGUCGCUUAACGAUAGAACUGCCAUUGAUACUGUAAGUCUUGAGUAUAUUUGAGGUAGCUGGAAUAAGUAGUGUAGCGGUGAAAUGCAUAGAUAUUACUUAGAACACCAAUUGCGAAGGCAGGUUACCAAGAUAUAACUGACGCUGAGGGACGAAAGCGUGGGUAGCGAACAGGAUUAGAUACCCGCGUAGUCCCUGUCUCUUAUAA